AGGCACGUAGCUCAGUUGGUUAGAGCACCACCUUGACAUGGUGGGGGUCGUUGGUUCGCGUCCAAUCGCGCCUACCA
Molecule: transfer RNA, 77 nt
Filed under: Pseudomonas syringae
Lineage: Bacteria; Pseudomonadati; Pseudomonadota; Gammaproteobacteria; Pseudomonadales; Pseudomonadaceae
Description: tRNA-Val
Rfam family: tRNA
About the family: Transfer RNA (tRNA) molecules are approximately 80 nucleotides in length.
Source: RNAcentral